RNAcentral lists this ribosomal RNA (744 nucleotides) under uncultured Hyphomicrobiales bacterium. RNAcentral describes it as "bacterial SSU rRNA". It matches the Rfam family "Bacterial small subunit ribosomal RNA", at positions 8 to 796 of the family's 1533-position model. The record is from RNAcentral. Lineage: Bacteria; Pseudomonadati; Pseudomonadota; Alphaproteobacteria; Hyphomicrobiales.
AGAGUUUGAUCAUGGCUCAGAACGAACGCUGGCGGCAGGCUUAACACAUGCAAGUCGAACGCUCAUCUUCGGAUGGGAGUGGCAGACGGGUGAGUAACGCGUGGGAACCUACCCUUUGGUUCGGAAUAACUCAGGGAAACUUGAGCUAAUACCGGAUACGCCCUUUGGGGGAAAGAUUUAUCGCCAUGGGAUGGGCCCGCGUCGGAUUAGCUAGUUGGUGGGGUAAUGGCCUACCAAGGCAACGAUCCGUAGCUGGUCUGAGAGGAUGAUCAGCCACACUGGGACUGAGACACGGCCCAGACUCCUACGGGAGGCAGCAGUGGGGAAUAUUGGACAAUGGGCGCAAGCCUGAUCCAGCCAUGCCGCGUGAGUGAAGAAGGCCUUAGGGUUGUAAAGCUCUUUCAGCGGGGAAGAUAAUGACGGUACCCGCAGAAGAAGCCCCGGCUAACUUCGUGCCAGCAGCCGCGGUAAUACGAAGGGGGCUAGCGUUGUUCGGAAUUACUGGGCGUAAAGCGCGCGUAGGCGGAUGGGUAAGUCAGGGGUGAAAUGCCAGGGCUUAACCUUGGAACUGCCUUUGAUACUGCCGGUCUGGAGUACGGGAGAGGUGAGUGGAAUUCCGAGUGUAGAGGUGAAAUUCGUAGAUAUUCGGAGGAACACCAGAAGCGAAGGCGGCUCACUGGCCCGAUACUGACGCUGAGGCGCGAAAGCGUGGGGAGCAAACAGGAUUAGAUACCCCCGUAGUCC